This 163-nucleotide non-coding RNA is filed under the name Candidatus Microgenomates bacterium. The record is from RNAcentral. Lineage: Bacteria; Candidatus Microgenomatota.
CUGCUAUAUUGUUGCCGUGGUGUACCGGUCCGCUCCGCCAGCUGGCGGAUAGCGAGAUAAGGUGCAAAAAAGGGAAUCCCGUGCAAAUCGGGAGCUGUGCCGCAACUGUAAGUCCGAUGAACGUUGGACAAGCCAGGAGACCGACCACUUCAAAGAGAGUCUA